AGUAGUCAUAUGCCUUGUCUCAAAGCAUUAAGCAUGCACAUUGUAAGAUGACUAUUCAUAUCAGACUGUGAAACUGCGAAUGGCUUCAUUAAAUCGUUUAUAGUUUGUUUGAUGGUAUCUGCUACUCGAUAACCGUAGUAAUUCUAGAGCUAAUACGUGCAACAAACCCCCGACUUCUGGAAGGAUGCAUUUAUUAGAUAACAAGGUCGACAGCGGGCUUCCCCGCCCCCCCCCCCUGCCAGUUGCUCUGAUGAUUCCAAUGAUAACUCGGACGGAUCGCACGGCCAUCGUGCCCGGCCGACGCAUCAUUCAAAUUUCUCCAGCUAUCAACUUCCGAUGUAGGAAUAGAGGCCUACCAUGGUGGUGACCGGGUGACGGAGAAUUAAGGGUUCGAUAUCCCGGAGAGGGAGCCUGACGAAACGGCUAACCACAUCCAAGGAAGGCAGCACGGCCGCGGCAAAUUACGCCAAUCUGACACGGGGAAGGUAAGUGACAAUAAAUAACAUACCGGGCUCUUCGAGUCUUGGUAAUUGGAAUGAGUAGAACAAUCUAAAUCCCUUAACGAGGAUCCCAUUGGAGGGCAAGUCCUGGUGCCAGCAGCCGCGGUAAAUUCCAGUCCAAUAAGCGUAUAUUUUAAGAUUGUUGCAGUAAAAAGCUCGUAUGUUGGACGCUUGGGGUUGGGUCGACCUGUCCCGCCUCGCGGUGUGCACACUGUCGGCUCGUCCCUAUCUGCCGGCGAUGCGCUCUCUGGCCUUACUGGCCGGGUCGUGGCCUCCGGCGCUGUUACUUGGAAGAAAUUAGAGUGCUCAAAGCAAGCCUACGCUCUGGAUACAUAGCCAUGGGAUAACAUCAUAGGAUUUCGGUCCUAAUGUGUUGGCCUUCGGGAUCGGAGUAAUGAUUAACAGGGACUAGUCGGGGGCAUUCGUAUUUCAAUAAGUCAGAGUCGCCGUGAAAUUCUUGGAAUUUAUGAAAGACGACAACUGGCGAAAGCAUUUGCCAAGGAUGUUUUCAUUAUCAAGAAACGAAAGUUGGGGCUUUCGAAGACGAUCAGAUACCGUCCCUAGUCUCAAACCCAUAAACGAUGCCGCCUAAGGGAUCGCGGAUGUUCUUUUAGGACCUCCGGCGCACCUUAUGAGAAUAUCAAAAGUCUUUGGUUCGCGGGGGAGUAUGGUCGCACAGGCUUGAAACUUAAAGAAUACGACAGGGCACCACCAGGAGUGGAGCCUGCGUGCUUAAUUUGACUCAACACGGGGAAAACUUACCAGGUCCAGACAUAUAAGGAUUUGACAGACUGAGAGCUCCUUUCUUGAUUCUAUGGGUGGGUGGUGCAUGCCGUUCUUAGUUGGUGGAGCGAUUUGUCUGGUUUAAAUUCCGUUUAACGAACGAGCCUCAGCCUGCUAACUAGCUAUGGCGGAGGUGACCCUCCGCGGCAGCUUCUUAGAAGACUAUGGCCUUUAGGCCGGAAGUUUUGAGGCAAUAACAGAGUCUGUGAUGCCGUUAGAUGUUUCCUCGGGCCGCAGCAGGCGCUACACUGAUGACGUAUUCAACGACGUCUAUAGCCUUUGGCCGACAGGCCCGGGUAAUCUUUGAAAUUUCAUCGUGAAUGGGGAUAGAUCAUCUGCCAAUGUUGGUCUUUACAACGGAGGAAUUUCCUAGUAGAGCGCGAGUCAUCAGCUCGCGUUUGACUAACUCCCUGGCCCUUUGUAUCACACUCGCCCGUCGCUCCUACCGAUUGAAUGGUACCGGUGAAGUGUUCGGAUCGCGGCGACGUGGGCGGUUCCGCCGCCGCCGACGUCCUGCGAGAAGUCCACUGAACCUUAUCAUUUAUGAGGAAGGAGAAGUCGUAACAAGGUUCCGUAGGUUAAGCCUGCGGAAG
This 1876-nucleotide ribosomal RNA is filed under the name Hevea brasiliensis (rubber tree). RNAcentral describes it as "SSU rRNA". It matches the Rfam family "Eukaryotic small subunit ribosomal RNA". The record is from RNAcentral. Lineage: Eukaryota; Viridiplantae; Streptophyta; Magnoliopsida; Malpighiales; Euphorbiaceae.